CCUACGGGAGGCAGCAGUGGGGAAUAUUGGACAAUGGGGGGAACCCUGAUCCAGCCAUGCCGCGUGUGUGAAGAAGGCCCUCGGGUUGUAAAGCACUUUCAGUGAGGAAGAACGCCUGGUGGUUAAUACCCAUCAGGAAAGACAUCACUCACAGAAGAAGCACCGGCUAACUCCGUGCCAGCAGCCGCGGUAAUACGGAGGGUGCGAGCGUUAAUCGGAAUUACUGGGCGUAAAGCGCGCGUAGGUGGCUUGAUAAGCCGGUUGUGAAAGCCCCGGGCUCAACCUGGGAACGGCAUCCGGAACUGUCAAGCUAGAGUGCAGGAGAGGAAGGUACAAUUCCCGGUGUAGCGGUGAAAUGCGUAGAGAUCGGGAGGAAUACCAGUGGCGAAGGCGGCCUUCUGGACUGACACUGACACUGAGGUGCGAAAGCGUGGGUAGCAAACAGGAUUAGAUACCCGAGUAGUC
RNAcentral lists this ribosomal RNA (465 nucleotides) under Vreelandella stevensii. Its description in RNAcentral is "partial 16S ribosomal RNA". It matches the Rfam family "Bacterial small subunit ribosomal RNA", at positions 338 to 795 of the family's 1533-position model. Lineage: Bacteria; Pseudomonadati; Pseudomonadota; Gammaproteobacteria; Oceanospirillales; Halomonadaceae. The record is from RNAcentral.